RNAcentral lists this long non-coding RNA (3175 nucleotides) under Homo sapiens (human). RNAcentral's name for it is "HSALNT0171688". Lineage: Eukaryota; Metazoa; Chordata; Mammalia; Primates; Hominidae. The record is from RNAcentral.
UUCAACAUAUGAAUGUCAGGGGACACAGUUCAGCCCAUAAUGCAGAACAUGACUAAAAGUGAGACUUGACUGUCACUCAUGUUUGAAAUGCUUGUUCCCUGGUGCCACAAAGAAAUAGCACUUGAACAUACAUUUAAUUUUCUCAGCAAGGCCAUUUUUAUUCUCUACAGAAAGGGUACAUUCACCAGCAGUUUUGCCACAAGAGUACACCGAACAAAGGAGACAGGGUUAUUUAUAACCUGACGCAUCCACCCUACUGCUGUGUCUGGUUUCCAUUGGCUGGAAUGGGACCUCACUGUAACCCACAUGGACCUAGGGGGACUGAACAAAGGGGGCAAAUGUGGGAAUAAAACACAAGAGAUGAAAGAGUAUAUUUGGAAGAAGGGGUCAGAGGGCACCUUGCCUCUAGUGGACAAGGGCCCUGAGCUUUACACAGCCCUCCGUAUUUAUUAGGCAAUAGAGAUAGCAAGAAGGAGGGGAGUGGUUGUUGGCUGGCAUUUUAUUCACAGCAGGCUGGCAAGACUGCAUUCUUAGAACAAUAGGAGCUAGAUCUCUCAAUAGAUAACUUCAAGGAGCCUGGCACCAUGGAGUGAGGCCCUCAGCAAACGUUUUGGUAGCAGGGCAGUGUGAGUUUGGCCACAUCCUGCAUUCAUGAUAAACAGUUUGCCGUUUGAUCAUAUAGCCUCCAGCAGAAUACUAAGUUGGUCAUGUCCCACAGGCUUUCGGCUCCCUGCAUAUCCCACUUUUUGUUUAUGUAUUAAUUGAAAGAAUGUAAGGCCAGACUGGGUAGCUCUCAUUCUCUGAUUGGUGGUCCAUCCAAUUUUACAGAAAACAUAGCAUUAGAACAGUGUUGUGACUCUGGCCGGCAUUCUGUCUGUCUUUACACUCAGGCUCAGCUGUCUCAUGGUUCGUACCAGAAGGACCGGGCUCAUGGUUGGCCACCCUGGGUUCCUCCAGUCUCCCAUUCCAUGGUCACACAUGUCUUGAGGGCACCCACAGGGUUUGUCCAUCUGUAAAAACACAAGUAUAUCCUCUUCCCCACGUCAGUAAAUCCACCGAACCUUUACAUUGUCCUUCUUCCGGGGAUUUCCAUAACACUUUUGGAUAAACUUUCCUCUUUUCCUUUAACAUUUGCCAAUGUCUUUCUACUGGAGUCUUACCAUCCAUACUAGGAGUCAAAAAAUUUAAAGUAGAGGCCGGGCGCGGUGGUAGUUGGCCUCCUAUACCCCCUUUUUGUUUUUUCAACAUGCAUUGUAAUGUUUGAUGGGCCCAUUCUAUAAUGACUUGUCCUCUAGCAUCAUAAGGAAUUCCUGUUUUAUGGGUUAUAGCCCAAAGCUGUAAGAAAUUUUGAAAAGCAUGACUAGUAUAAGCGGUUCCAUUAUCAGUUUUUAAUUGUUUAAGUAUCCCCAUAUGAGCAAAUGAUGACAAUGUCGCCAUACAUGACCAGCUGUCUCACCUGCUUGGCAUGUAGCAUGCAGCAUCUAUAGUCACAUGAACAUAGCUAAGCUUACCAAAGGUAACUAUUGUGUAACAUCCAUUUGCCAAACUUCAUUUGGAGCCAAACCUCAUGAGUUACAGCCUUCUACAGGUGUGGCUCCAGGGACAUGCUGACAAGUAGGACAGGCUUGUAUUAUAGCCCUAGCUUGGCUGCAAGAUAAAUGGAACACGCAAGUAAGGGUGGAAGUAUUUUGAUGCAGAAGCGCAUGAGAUGCUUGAGCUUGCUGAAACACAGAACAAAUCAAUUUAUAUCUACUUUAUCAUUCCCUAGGGAUAAUGGUCCUGGAAGUUGUGUAUGAGAACAAAUAUCAGAAAUAUGAAAAGGAUCUGCAUGAGAACGAGUAACUCGCUGAAGUCUUUUUUUGUUUUGUUUUGUUUUGUUUUUCACAUUAGAUGUUGGUAGAAAUUUUUAUUUUUUUAACUUUUAGGUUCGGUGAACAUAUGUAGGUUUGUUAUAUAAAUAAAUUGCAUGUCACAGAAGUUUGGUGUACAGAUUAUUUUGCCACCCACAUAAUAAGCAUAGAAACUGAUAGGUAAUUUUUGGAUCCUCAUCCUCUUCCCUCCCUCUAUCCUCAAGCACGCCCCAGUGUCUGCUGUUCCUUUGUGUCCAUGUGUACUCAAUGUUUGGCUCCCACUUAUAUGUGUGAACAUGAUGUCUUAAAAAUAAAUUAAACAGUUCUGGGUCUAGUGUACUUUUAAUUGUAGCAGUUUCUAUGUGACUGGUUACAUUUACAACAUAAGCUGAAUCACAGACAAUGUUGAUAGGAUCUGAAGCUGCGAGCUGUAAAACCUGAAUGACUGCAAUUAGCUCUGAGCCUUGAGCUGAAGCCCCAGAUGUCAUUAUUAUUUGAGUAUGUUUACGUCCAUAGAUAGCAGCAUGACCUCUGGAAGAGCCAUCAGUAAAGUAAGUCUGUCCACCUGCAAUAGGCUUGUGAUGAGUAAUCACAGAAAGAAUGAAAGAAUGGAUUUUAUAAAACUGUAAAAUUUUGUCUGAGGGGUAGUGAUUAUCUAUAGCACCCAUGAAAUCUGCAAAAGCAAUUUGCCAGGCAGUUGACAUUUCCCAAGCUGUGGCUUGUUGCUGGGAGUCUAAAGGAACAAUAAUUUUGUCAGGGUCAUAUCCCAUAAGCAUUUUUGACCUAUGCCUGCCCAUAGUCACAAUUUGUGUAAUUAAAGAAAGAUAAACUUGCAAGGUUUUGACUGUUUGAUUAGGUAGAAAGAGCCAUUCUAUUACUGUUGCAGACUUGUCUAUGAACUGGCCCAAUAGUCCUGUUGGAGAGUGGGGGGUAGGAGGAAUAAACAAAAGCAAAGGUUUUUGCAGUUGUAGCUGUGAGGCAUGUCUCUGCUGUAACAUUUUCUCUACAAGCCGUAAUUCGGCUUCUGCCUCUUUAGUUAGUUGCCAUGGGGAAUUUAAAGUAGAAUCUCCUUGCAGGGUUUGGUAAAGAUGUGUAAGUUGAUAGGUAGCAAUACCUAACAUUGGCUGUAGCCAAUUAAUAUCUCCUAAUAAUUGUAGAAAAUCAUUUAAAGUCUGUAACCUGUCUUUACAGAGAACUACUUUCUGAGGCCGUACACUUCUCUCCAUAACAAUAAUUCCUAAGUAUUGGUAUGGGGAAGUUGUUUGUACCUUUUUCAGAGCUAUUUUGAGAUUCCAUUUAGUCAAAGCUUGCUUCGUUUCUCUGAA